GUCAUAUGUCAGUUUAAUUCUCAGGACUAGUGAAAAAAACCUUAAGAGGGUAGAGGUAAAAUGCUGCCUCCUCUCCAUGGUCCUUUAUUUCUUCCCAUGGCAGCCCAGGUGAUCUGAUUAUUACCCAGAGAUCUGAUUAAGACAGAGGUCAAAUGUAAUGCUCUAGUGACUCCUUAAACUUAAUGUUGAAUUCCUUACCAAUUAUCUUGACUUGUAAGGCCAUGGUGGUCCGAUGUCUCCCUCCAUCUCUCAGCCUCACCCUGUCCUCACCCUCCCUCACUCUACUUCUCCAUCAUUGCUAACUCCUUUCCAACCCUUCCAAUCUCUUCUUUCCCUCCUGCCUGGAACACUUUGCACUGGCUCUUCCGUCUUCCUUAAAUUCCUUUCCUUGCAUUGUCUUUCAUUACCCAUGGUCCCACUGAAUUUACUCGAGCUCAAGUUGAUAUAAAGUGUUUAGGAAUAAUACUGAAUGUUUUUCCCCAUAUUUUUUCUCAAAAGGAGGAUACCCACUAAAUAUACAGUGUCAGGAAACAUUUGAUUAAGAGUCAGCUGCAGUAAAUUAGCCACAUUCCAUUUUUCUUAGGUAAAAACUGAAUGUUGCUGAUUUUUAAAAUAGUAUCUGAGAGUAGUUUUCAGAUAAAAGGCACACAUAUUCAUGGGUAUUCCACCACAGGUAGUCAAAAGUAGUCCAACUGCUUUUCAUAUUCCAAUGGAAGAAAAUGGCAGCAGCAGUUUGAAAUCAUCAAGGAACUAAUCAAUCUAUCACCUUUAGGCACCUCCGAUGUAUGUACUAUUGCAAACGUGUCAAGACUUCUGUGAGUCAGCCCCAGAAAUUAUUUUUUGAGCUAUUGAAUUGCAAUGUCAGUUGUCCCAUACAACUGGCAUUUCAACCCAAUUAAAUCCUGUAAGAUAAGAUGUCAAGACAGAAGUGCGUGCUCAGAAUAGGGGUGUGUGUUAAAAGACAUUGAGGUCCUAAGGGACCUUGUCUCCCUCUAAACCUGUGAAAUUCUCCGCAUGGUGUCUCCAUUUCUGGAGAACCAGAUGCCUCCCUUAAGAGUGUGUGUGUGUGUGUGUAUGCGUGUGUGUGUGUAUUGUGG
This 1097-nucleotide long non-coding RNA is filed under the name Marmota monax (woodchuck). Lineage: Eukaryota; Metazoa; Chordata; Mammalia; Rodentia; Sciuridae. The record is from RNAcentral.